Long non-coding RNA from Rhinichthys klamathensis goyatoka, 950 nucleotides. RefSeq lists it as uncharacterized. The transcript has 2 exons. Lineage: Eukaryota; Metazoa; Chordata; Actinopteri; Cypriniformes; Leuciscidae. The record is from RefSeq and is a predicted model, not a curated record.
CUGUAUGUAUAAAAUACUUGAUUUGCAUUUGCCAAUGAUUUCAUUGACUCAAGAGAUCUAAACUCAUGAACUCUUCUGUGGGACAGUUUUGAGAGAGGAGACUUUCUCCAUAUGGCAUGUUCGUAUAAGUGAUGUUUUAAGUUUUCAGAUGCAAUGCUAAUAUCCUUUGCUGUUGUGCUCCAUGGUUCCUCCUGGGCUUGUAUUCAAAGAUCCAGAAUCAUAUGGUUGGACUCCCAAGUGAAUCUCAGUGCAUGACAGUGCCAAGAGUUUUUUGGACUGAUGGUGAGCGUCACAUGACCUUGAUUUAAUGGCUCCCUCUGGUGCAAUCCUCGCACAUUCUCCAGCUUUCCACACAUGGCUGAGCUGCUCUGUGCGUUCUACAGAAAUGUCUCUGAAGAAAGAAUUUUUGCUUUGCCCUACUUAGGAUUGUUAAACUUUUGACCCAAAUAUGCUGUGGAAAUGCUGUUCUAACACUGCUCCAGCUGGCCUGACCGGUUCGGAAGACCACAGAGGCACAUCCCUUUUCAUUUUGUGGGGCGGUCCACGCUUCUCACUGCUUUCCUGCCUCUUUAUCCCCACUCUUUCAGUGUGAGUGUACGUGUGUGGUCCCUGCCAACAGGUUUGGCCGCAGCAUGUGCUAAUGGCCAGUGAAGAUGUGAAGUAUAGCUGACAGGGUCUGGUUUGUGCCCCACAGCCACAUCUAGAGAGACUUUUUUUCCUAAACAUGAGGUUAAUGGAGCAGACAGGUUAUGUGUGGCAGGCCAUCCACCCAGUGGAGGUCUAACUGUGACGGUGGAUGAUUGGACUAAACGCGUGUUUGUUAGGAUUUCAGGAAGUUUUCUCUGCUUUGUUGAUGCUAACUUCAGCCAUGCAGCAGGUAUGUGUAUACACGGUCUGAUAGUCCAAAAGAAAUCCUCCAUACACUUUUAAAAUAAAUGUUCCAAAGGUGA